AAGCAUAUUGUUAACUUGGCUUAAAGCUGUCAUUGUCAAGUUGUUUUAGUUAUGAAACGCUUUUGUGUUCGUCUAGAGUAGAAACUUGUGAAAAAAAAGUCUUAAAGUUUUCUACAUGAUGUUAGAAGCAAAGUACAUCGAUUGGCGCCAAAGGCAAUUUGUUUUUGCACUCUUUCAGUUGUGGGCAACCUUAGAGGAAUGUCAAAGUUCGUGUAUGAUUUGCGGACUCCAAAGUCAACUCCUGCCGAACGGCAGCAAAGCUGGCCAACAACUGAGCUGCAGCGACAACAAAAUGAAAAUCGAAACGCAAACGGAAACGGAAACGAAACAAAAACAAGAGAGAGAGAGAGACAGAGCGAGAGAGAGAGAGAGGAAGUGGCAGCAAUGUUUCAAUGCCGCAACGUUUGCUCUUAAAAAAAGCUUAAGAGAACUCUGCGCCGGGCUCUUGCAAUGCCGCGCCGGCUGCAUGGCCAAGUUUUCGCACACUUUUGUCAACAAUUGGCCCUUCUUAAGCAUAUUUACACGCUUCGAGCAUCAAGAGACGACAAUAAACAAGCGGCGACCACUCCACACAUUGGCCGCUGUCAGCUCGCCAAAUUGAAUUAAUUGCUGCGUGUUGUCUGUGUUGGAUGCUGGCAUUAAAAACGCGAACGCGAAGGUGGGCGCAAUUUUGACGACCAUAAUGACAACAAUUAAAUAUAAAUCACCGACCAGCUACAUCUACAUCUGCGCAUCUUUUCGGCUUUCCGGCUCAGACUCAGACUCAGACUCAGACUCCGCCGCGACACACGCAUACAAUUAGCUUUAAUGGCCAUGGCCAUGGCCCCGGCGCACUUGGCGUAUGGUAAUUUGAAAAUAUGGUAAUUAUGAGGCGGCUGUAUAUCUGUAGAUAUUAAUUUUGUAUUUAUGUUUUGAGAAGGAGCAUGAAAUGGGCAGCGCUGUCUGCUCUAAUUAGGCGCUCAUAAAUCGCGCGCCACAAGAAAGCAACAAAUCCUAAAUAACAAUUAAAACAAUUUGCAAGAUUAAAAAAAAGAAAACAAAAAAA
Drosophila novamexicana is the source of this 1045-nucleotide long non-coding RNA. RefSeq lists it as uncharacterized. Lineage: Eukaryota; Metazoa; Arthropoda; Insecta; Diptera; Drosophilidae. The record is from RefSeq and is a predicted model, not a curated record. The transcript is spliced from 2 exons.